GGGGAAUAUUGGGCAAUGGGCGAAAGCCUGACCCAGCAACGCCGCGUGAGAGAAGGAGGUCUUCGGAUUGUAAAUCUCUGUCAUUGGGGACGAGUAGAAGACGGUACCCAAGGAGGAAGCCCCGGCUAACUACGUGCCAGCAGCCGCGGUAAUACGUAGGGGGCAAGCGUUGUCCGGAGUUAUUGGGCGUAAAGGGCGCGUAGGCGGCCUGCCAAGUCGAUUAUGAAACCCCCGGGCCCAACCCGGGAUAUGCAAACGAAACUGGCGGGCUUGAGUGCAGGAGAGGAAAGCGGAAUUCCCAGUGUAGCGGUAAAAUGCGUAGAUAUUGGGAGGAACACCGGUGGCGAAGGCGGCUUUCUGGACUGUAACUGACGCUGAGGCGCGAUAGCGUGGGGAGCAAAC
RNAcentral lists this ribosomal RNA (402 nucleotides) under uncultured bacterium. RNAcentral describes it as "bacterial SSU rRNA". It matches the Rfam family "Bacterial small subunit ribosomal RNA", at positions 356 to 773 of the family's 1533-position model. The record is from RNAcentral.